AGAGUUUGAUCCUGGCUCAGAACGAACGCUGGCGGCAUGCCUAACACAUGCAAGUCGAACGAGCUCUUCGGAGCUAGUGGCGCACGGGUGCGUAACGCGUGGGAAUCUGCCCUAUGGUUCGGAAUAACUCAGGGAAACUUGAGCUAAUACCGGAUAAUGUCUUCGGACCAAAGAUUUAUCGCCAAAGGAUGAGCCCGCGUAAGAUUAGCUAGUUGGUGGGGUAAAAGCCUACCAAGGCGACGAUCUUUAGCUGGUCUGAGAGGAUGAUCAGCCACACUGGGACUGAGACACGGCCCAGACUCCUACGGGAGGCAGCAGUGGGGAAUAUUGGACAAUGGGCGAAAGCCUGAUCCAGCAAUGCCGCGUGAGUGAUGAAGGCCUUAGGGUUGUAAAGCUCUUUUACCCGGGAUGAUAAUGACAGUACCGGGAGAAUAAGCCCCGGCUAACUCCGUGCCAGCAGCCGCGGUAAUACGGAGGGGGCUAGCGUUGUUCGGAAUUACUGGGCGUAAAGCGUACGUAGGCGGCUUUGUAAGUUAGAGGUGAAAGCCCGGGGCUCAACUCCGGAAUUGCCUUUAAGACUGCAUCGCUUGAAUCAUGGAGAGGUUAGUGGAAUUCCGAGUGUAGAGGUGAAAUUCGUAGAUAUUCGGAAGAACACCAGUGGCGAAGGCGACUAACUGGACAUGUAUUGACGCUGAGGUACGAAAGCGUGGGGAGCAAACAGGAUUAGAUACCCCAGUAGUCC
This 742-nucleotide ribosomal RNA is filed under the name uncultured bacterium. RNAcentral's name for it is "bacterial SSU rRNA". It matches the Rfam family "Bacterial small subunit ribosomal RNA", at positions 8 to 796 of the family's 1533-position model. The record is from RNAcentral.